This 168-nucleotide ribosomal RNA is filed under the name Opistognathus sp. OCF-P20131016-1. RNAcentral's name for it is "partial 12S rRNA". RNAcentral also lists the same sequence under 2 other names. The record is from RNAcentral. Lineage: Eukaryota; Metazoa; Chordata; Actinopteri; Opistognathidae.
CACCGCGGUUAUACGAGAGGCCCAAGUUGACAACAAUCCGGCGUAAAGAGUGGUUAAUAAUUACCCAAACUAAAGCCGAACGUCUCCAAAACUGUCAUACGUACUUGGAGAUAAGAAGCCCUCCCACGAAAGUGGCUUUAUUCGCUUGACCCCACGAAAGCUGCGAAA